Molecule: non-coding RNA, 243 nt
Organism: Delphinapterus leucas (beluga whale)
Lineage: Eukaryota; Metazoa; Chordata; Mammalia; Artiodactyla; Monodontidae
Gene: SCARNA6
Product: small Cajal body-specific RNA 6
Source: Ensembl
GAUCCAUAUUGAAAAGUAGGGAAAGUGCGGCAUCCUCACCAUCCCCAGCCGCCUCUCUCCCACUGGGCUCCAGUAGUGCUGUGGCGGGCAAAGCACACUGACGUUCGGUUAUGACCCAGUUCUGCGUUGCUUGGUAGCCCAGGAAAGACGCCAUGGUUGGCAUCUAACAGCUAGUCACGAAAAGAUUUGAUUGUUGGGAAUGCUGGUGUCUGUGGUUAUGAUCUGACAUUUCAAGCUGAGACC